CUUUUGUAUAAUGGGUCAGCGACUUAUAUUCUGUAGCAAGGUUAACCGUAUAGGGGAGCCGAAGGGAAACCGAGUCUUAACCGGGCGUUAAGUUGCAGGGUAUAGACCCGAAACCCGGUGAUCUAGCCAUGGGCAGGUUGAAGGUUGGGUAACACUAACUGGAGGACCGAACCGACUAAUGUUGAAAAAUUAGCGGAUGACCUGUGGCUGGGGGUGAAAGGCCAAUCAAACCGGGAGAUAGCUGGUUCUCCCCGAAAGCUAUUUAGGUAGCGCCUCGUGAAUUCAUCUCCGGGGGUAGAGCACUGUUUCGGCUAGGGGGCCAUCCCGGCUUACCAACCCGAUGCAAACUGCGAAUACCGGAGAAUGUUAUCACGGGAGACACACGGCGGGUGCUAACGUCCGUCGUGAAGAGGGAAACAACCCAGACCGCCAGCUAAGGUCCCAAAGUCAUGGUUAAGUGGGAAACGAUGUGGGAAGGCCCAGACAGCCAGGAUGUUGGCUUAGAAGCAGCCAUCAUUUAAAGAAAGCGUAAUAGCUCACUGGUCGAGUCGGCCUGCGCGGAAGAUGUAACGGGGCUAAACCAUGCACCGAAGCUGCGGCAGCGAACGUAUCACUUAAAGCGAUUCAGCGGGUUACGAUUGACGGAGCGAAGCGACGUCAAAGCGUAUACAAAGUCGAGUCGGUUUAAGGAUACGUUCGUUGGGUAGGGGAGCGUUCUGUAAGCCUGUGAAGGUGUGUCGUGAGGCAUGCUGGAGGUAUCAGAAGUGCGAAUGCUGACAUAAGUAACGAUAAAGCGGGUGAAAAGCCCGCUCGCCGGAAGACCAAGGGUUCCUGUCCAACGUUAAUCGGGGCAGGGUGAGUCGACCCCUAAGGCGAGGCCGAAAGGCGUAGUCGAUGGGAAACGGGUUAAUAUUCCCGUACUUGGUGUUACUGCGAAGGGGGGACGGAGAAGGCUAUGUUGGCCGGGCGACGGUUGUCCCGGUUUAAGCGUGUAGGUGUGUGUUCCAGGUAAAUCCGGUUCACUUUAACACUGAGGCGUGACGACGAGGCACUACGGUGCUGAAGCAACAAAUGCCCUGCUUCCAGGAAAAGCCUCUAAGCAUCAGGUAACAUCAAAUCGUACCCCAAACCGACACAGGUGGUCAGGUAGAGAAUACCAAGGCGCUUGAGAGAACUCGGGUGAAGGAACUAGGCAAAAUGGUGCCGUAACUUCGGGAGAAGGCACGCUGACACGUAGGUGAAGUGAUUUACUCAUGGAGCUGAAGUCAGUCGAAGAUACCAGCUGGCUGCAACUGUUUAUUAAAAACACAGCACUGUGCAAACACGAAAGUGGACGUAUACGGUGUGACGCCUGCCCGGUGCCGGAAGGUUAAUUGAUGGGGUCAGCGCAAGCGAAGCUCCUGAUCGAAGCCCCGGUAAACGGCGGCCGUAACUAUAACGGUCCUAAGGUAGCGAAAUUCCUUGUCGGGUAAGUUCCGACCUGCACGAAUGGCGUAAUGAUGGCCAGGCUGUCUCCACCCGAGACUCAGUGAAAUUGAACUCGCUGUGAAGAUGCAGUGUACCCGCGGCAAGACGGAAAGACCCCGUGAACCUUUACUAUAGCUUGACACUGAACAUUGAGCCUUGAUGUGUAG
Molecule: ribosomal RNA, 1634 nt
Filed under: Salmonella enterica
Lineage: Bacteria; Pseudomonadati; Pseudomonadota; Gammaproteobacteria; Enterobacterales; Enterobacteriaceae
Description: partial 23S ribosomal RNA
Rfam family: Bacterial large subunit ribosomal RNA
Source: RNAcentral